UCAGGUGACUAUAGCAUCAGGGUUCCACCUCUUCCCAUUCCGAACAGAGAAGUUAAGCCUGAUCACGCCGAUGGUACUGCGU
RNAcentral lists this ribosomal RNA (82 nucleotides) under Bacteroides fragilis. Lineage: Bacteria; Pseudomonadati; Bacteroidota; Bacteroidia; Bacteroidales; Bacteroidaceae. The record is from RNAcentral.